UUACAUCAUGUACGGAAAAUAGGAGUAGUAUUAUAGUACAAACGCAACUGGAGAGAUGUUGGCAAUCAAUAAAGUCCAACUUGGCAAUGCCAGGUCAAAUCUAUUAUCAGCAGAAAUCAAUGCUCUGCUUUCUUUCUGUAAAGUAGAUAUGCAUUCAGAUACUUCCAUCUUCAGAAGGAUUUGACUAGGUAUCUCAAAGAAAAAGGAUAUUGCCGCAAUUACGGAUAAUUAGUUGACUUUAACAUGUUAGUGUGCCAUGUGUGCCCUAUGGAUUUCACAAUGGACAUUUUCAUAUGGUCGAUUUGACUUUCACCCACAAAAAAAAAGAUUUGACUUGCGAUUUCUUCAACCCCGGUAGACGAGUUUCCAAAUUUUCUAAAGAUUCAGGUUGAGUAAAAAACUGAAGUCAACUUUAUCAGAUAAUUACUAGCCAAUAGUCCUUGUCUUUGUGUACAUACUGGAAGCUAAGCAUAAGUUUUUCUUGAGAUGUAUUGAACUUGCACAUGAACCAUUUUUGUAGCAAUCAUCAUUGUCAACUCCUCGAUCCUCCUGUCCUCUGUUCCCAAAACGCAAUAUCCAUGUCAUCUCUAACUGCAGGGCUUCAAUUCGACAUCUGAGCAAAGUCUGCUAACUGCCAUCAUAAACAUUUCAAGCCUACCAAUCUCAGCCCAAGGCGCUACCGACGCACGGGCGCCGCCGCGGCGGCCGAAUCGCCGGAGAAGGUAGGACCGUCAGCGGAGCGAGAGGGGAUCCGGGGGCAGCGGCUAGGAGGGUGAUCUGGAGGCUAGCGCGGGAUCCAUGGCGGCGGUGCGCGCGGAGAUCGCCGGCGGGAGCGCGGGCCGUCAGCUGCUCCGUCGCCGGCCCUCGGACUCUGUUCUUUGAAGAAUCAGUGCCGCAUCCAGUUCUUUUGAGAAAUUUUGAGUUCAAAAUUGGAUCUUUCUGUAUUCAAGGUUGUGAAUUCCACACGCAAUCGAUCGAUUUUCUCCGUUAAGAAAAAAACAGUCGAGGUUCCAAUUUUCAGCAAUUAGCAUGAUCCCGAAGUAUCCUC
This 1048-nucleotide long non-coding RNA is filed under the name Setaria viridis. RNAcentral describes it as "long non-coding RNA (SVIR_LNC008401)". The record is from RNAcentral. Lineage: Eukaryota; Viridiplantae; Streptophyta; Magnoliopsida; Poales; Poaceae.